CCUACGGGUGGCUGCAGUGAGGAAUAUUGGUCAAUGGUCGGGAGACUGAACCAGCCAAGCCGCGUGAGGGAUGAAGGUACAGAGUAUCGUAAACCUCUUUUGUCAGGGAACAAAGGCGGGGACGUGUCCCCGGAUGAGUGUACCUGAAGAAAAAGCAUCGGCUAACUCCGGGCCAGCAGCCGCGGUAGUACGGAGGAUGCGAGCGGUAUCCGGAUUUAUGGGGUUAAAAGGGUGCGCAGGCGGUUGGUUAAGUCAGCGGUCAAAGCCCGGGGCCAAACCCCGGCCCGCCGUUGAAACUGGCAGUCUCGAGUUGGAGAGAAGUAUGCGGAAUGCGCGGUGUAGCGGUGAAAUGCAUAGAUAUCGGGAAGAACUCCGAGUGCGAAGGCAGCAUGCCGGCUCCACACUGACGCUGAGGCACGAAAGCGUGGGUAUCGAACAGGAUUAGAUACCCUUGUAGUC
This 459-nucleotide ribosomal RNA is filed under the name uncultured bacterium. Its description in RNAcentral is "partial 16S ribosomal RNA". It matches the Rfam family "Bacterial small subunit ribosomal RNA", at positions 338 to 795 of the family's 1533-position model. The record is from RNAcentral.